GAUGAACGCUGGCGGCGUGCCUAAUACAUGCAAGUCGAGCGAACAGACGAGGAGCUUGCUCCUCUGACGUUAGCGGCGGACGGGUGAGUAACACGUGGAUCACCUACCUAUAAGACUGGGAUAACUUCGGGAAACCGGAGCUAAUACCGGAUAAUAUAUUGAACCGCAUGGUUCAAUAGUGAAAGACGGUUUUGCUGUCACUUAUAGAUGGAUCCGCGCCGCAUUAGCUAGUUGGUAAGGUAUCGGCUUACCAAGGCUACGAUGCGUAGCCGACCUGAGAGGGUGAUCGGCCACACUGGAACUGAGACACGGUCCAGACUCCUACGGGAGGCAGCAGUAGGGAAUCUUCCGCAAUGGGCGAAAGCCUGACGGAGCAACGCCGCGUGAGUGAUGAAGGUCUUCGGAUCGUAAAACUCUGUUAUUAGGGAAGAACAAAUGUGUAAGUAACUAUGCACGUCUUGACGGUACCUAAUCAGAAAGCCACGGCUAACUACGUG
This 497-nucleotide ribosomal RNA is filed under the name uncultured bacterium. RNAcentral's name for it is "partial 16S ribosomal RNA". It matches the Rfam family "Bacterial small subunit ribosomal RNA", at positions 28 to 507 of the family's 1533-position model. The record is from RNAcentral.